RNAcentral lists this transfer RNA (72 nucleotides) under Akanthomyces muscarius. RNAcentral's name for it is "tRNA-Glu". It matches the Rfam family "tRNA". From Rfam's summary of the family: Transfer RNA (tRNA) molecules are approximately 80 nucleotides in length. Their secondary structure includes four short double-helical elements and three loops (D, anti-codon, and T loops). Lineage: Eukaryota; Fungi; Ascomycota; Sordariomycetes; Hypocreales; Cordycipitaceae. The record is from RNAcentral.
GGGGAUAUAUUUUAUUUGGUAGAAUGUUAACUUUUCACGUUAAAAGCCUAGGGUCGAUUCCUAGUUUUUCCA